RNAcentral lists this ribosomal RNA (432 nucleotides) under Salmonella enterica subsp. enterica serovar Typhi. Its description in RNAcentral is "bacterial SSU rRNA". It matches the Rfam family "Bacterial small subunit ribosomal RNA", at positions 165 to 592 of the family's 1533-position model. Lineage: Bacteria; Pseudomonadati; Pseudomonadota; Gammaproteobacteria; Enterobacterales; Enterobacteriaceae. The record is from RNAcentral.
AAUACCGCAUAACGUCGCAAGACCAAAGAGGGGGACCUUCGGGCCUCUUGCCAUCAGAUGUGCCCAGAUGGGAUUAGCUUGUUGGUGAGGUAACGGCUCACCAAGGCGACGAUCCCUAGCUGGUCUGAGAGGAUGACCAGCCACACUGGAACUGAGACACGGUCCAGACUCCUACGGGAGGCAGCAGUGGGGAAUAUUGCACAAUGGGCGCAAGCCUGAUGCAGCCAUGCCGCGUGUAUGAAGAAGGCCUUCGGGUUGUAAAGUACUUUCAGCGGGGAGGAAGGUGUUGUGGUUAAUAACCGCAGCAAUUGACGUUACCCGCAGAAGAAGCACCGGCUAACUCCGUGCCAGCAGCCGCGGUAAUACGGAGGGUGCAAGCGUUAAUCGGAAUUACUGGGCGUAAAGCGCACGCAGGCGGUCUGUCAAGUCGGA